AGUUUGAUCCUGGCUCGGGACGAACGCUGGCGGCGUGCCUAAUACAUGCAAGUCGAGCGAGCUUGCCUAGAUGAUUUUGGUGCUUGCACUAAAUGAAACUAGAUACAAGCGAGCGGCGGACGGGUGAGUAACACGUGGGUAACCUGCCCAAGAGACUGGGAUAACACCUGGAAACAGAUGCUAAUACCGGAUAACAACACUAGACGCAUGUCUAGAGUUUGAAAGAUGGUUCUGCUAUCACUCUUGGAUGGACCUGCGGUGCAUUAGCUAGUUGGUAAGGUAACGGCUUACCAAGGCAAUGAUGCAUAGCCGAGUUGAGAGACUGAUCGGCCACAUUGGGACUGAGACACGGCCCAAACUCCUACGGGAGGCAGCAGUAGGGAAUCUUCCACAAUGGACGAAAGUCUGAUGGAGCAACGCCGCGUGAGUGAAGAAGGGUUUCGGCUCGUAAAGCUCUGUUGGUAGUGAAGAAAGAUAGAGGUAGUAACUGGCCUUUAUUUGACGGUAAUUACUUAGAAAGUCACGGCUAACUACGUGCCAGCAGCCGCGGUAAUACGUAGGUGGCAAGCGUUGUCCGGAUUUAUUGGGCGUAAAGCGAGUGCAGGCGGUUCAAUAAGUCUGAUGUGAAAGCCUUCGGCUCAACCGGAGAAUUGCAUCAGAAACUGUUGAACUUGAGUGCA
Molecule: ribosomal RNA, 680 nt
Filed under: uncultured bacterium
Lineage: Bacteria
Description: bacterial SSU rRNA
Rfam family: Bacterial small subunit ribosomal RNA
Source: RNAcentral